CACCGCCCGUCACACCAUGGGAGUUUGUUGCACCAGAAGCAGAUAGCUUAACCUUCGGGAGGGCGCUUGCCACGGUGUGGCCGAUGACUGGGGUG
Molecule: ribosomal RNA, 95 nt
Filed under: uncultured bacterium
Lineage: Bacteria
Description: partial 16S ribosomal RNA
Rfam family: Bacterial small subunit ribosomal RNA
Source: RNAcentral